UUCAGGCGUAAAUGAAAGCUAGGCUUGAUGCACUUUAAGGGCUCGUUUGUAUCACAGACUGAAAAAAACCUGUGUGGAAGGGCUGGCUGGUUCGCACAAGCCUGGGCUUGCCGAAGAUGGCAGUAAGAACUCCUAGAGGUGCUGGCAGAAGCCCAGUGCCCCAGGGCAUGGGGAGGUGCUGGGAGGUCGGCCUGGAUGGGAACUGGCUUCAUGCUCAAGACUGAUGCUUCUUCAGGGAGAAUUCUUGUCACUUGGCCUUGAUGCACUGGAUUCAAGAAAAUAUCCUGCAGAGUGAUUUGAAGCGUCUCUCUCAUUCAGCAGAAAUUAAGUGGCUGAAGUGAAGACACAGUGGCUAUUCUGGAUCAUGUGGGUGAGGAAAACACCCUGAGAAGGACAAGACUCCCAAGAAUGAAGACGGAACCUCUGAAGACCCCAAUGAACAGGGACACCAUGCCAGCUUGGAGUUCCAAAUCAGACAAAAUCCCUUCUCAUUAACCUGUUUCACAUUUCAGUCCC
This is a long non-coding RNA of Lutra lutra (Eurasian river otter), 516 nucleotides long. RefSeq lists it as uncharacterized. The record is from RefSeq and is a predicted model, not a curated record. Lineage: Eukaryota; Metazoa; Chordata; Mammalia; Carnivora; Mustelidae. The transcript has 3 exons.